UACGGAGGGUGCGAGCGUUAAUCGGAAUCACUGGGCGUAAAGCGCGCGUAGGCGGCUUUUCAAGUCAGGGGUGAAAUCCCACGGCCCAACCGUGGAACUGCCUUUGAAACUGUAGAGCUUGAGUGUCGGAGAGGGUGGCGGAAUUCCAGGUGUAGGAGUGAAAUCCGUAGAUAUCUGGAGGAACACCGGUGGCGAAGGCGGUCACCUGGACGACAACUGACGCUGAGGUGCGAAAGCGUGGGUAGCAGACAGG
This 253-nucleotide ribosomal RNA is filed under the name uncultured bacterium. Its description in RNAcentral is "partial 16S ribosomal RNA". It matches the Rfam family "Bacterial small subunit ribosomal RNA", at positions 524 to 776 of the family's 1533-position model. The record is from RNAcentral.